AGGAAAUAAAAACGCACGCUUUCAACAAAAACAGAACACUCCUUCCACGCUUUCAACAAAAACAGAAUAGGCCUUCUUCAAACACAAUAACAUGAUUCAAUUAAUUAAAGUAUAACACACUUUUGAACGAAUACACUCUUAAACUACCUCCAGUAAAAAUGGAAGAAAUGGGUCUCUCGUGUUACCUUCAGUAAAAAUGGAAAAAAUUGGUUUCACAUACAAAACAAAAUGAAGCCUAAAUAAAAAUAAAGAGGGACGAAAUACAUGCCUUUAAAGAGUUAAAGGCAGAGAUGAAGGCCAUGCGCGGUGGGUUUUUUGAGGAUGACGUUGAAGGAGGUAUCAGUUGCAGUUCUCUUCUCUCGUUCUCAUCUAGGCUCAAGUUUUUUAUUUGAUUUUUGUUAGUUGUGUUAUUAAAAUGUGUUUGGAUUUUUCAUGGUUAUUUAUUUGAUGAAUGAAGAUAGUGA
This 464-nucleotide long non-coding RNA is filed under the name Cicer arietinum (chickpea). Its description in RNAcentral is "long non-coding RNA (CARI_LNC001484)". Lineage: Eukaryota; Viridiplantae; Streptophyta; Magnoliopsida; Fabales; Fabaceae. The record is from RNAcentral.